GCUUUAAAUGACCAUAAAAUCUGCAAGAAAAAUUCUAAAAACUAAAACACCCAUCCCUAGAAAUAGUUCAUCACUGUAAUCUAGGUUAGGAAGUAGUUAGUGUUGGUGAUGGAUGAGCUACGAGAAGCGGUUGAGAGGGCGGAACUGGUGGACGGCCACGCUCACAACAUCGUGGCUCUGGAUUCUUCACUUCCCUUCCUCUCUUGUUUUUCUGAAGCUUCCGGGAAAGCCUUAGCUCAUGUUCCUUCUACCCUUAACUUCAAGGGGUGCGAACGAAAAUAUCCAAGGGGUGCGGUCGGAAUUUUUCAAGGGAUGCGGACGAAAAUUUCCAAGGGGUGCGGUCGGGAUUUUUCGCGAAAAAUACCACUAAUUUUUUUUUCAAGGGGUGCGGCCGCCCACCCACCCCAUAAGAGAAGCCUGAGGGACAUUGCUCGUCUCUAUGGCUCUGACUUAUCUCUUGAAGGAGUCCAACAAUAUAGACUUGACUCUGGAAUUGAAAUAAUCACAAAAAUAUGCUUCAAAGCUGCAGGAAUCUCUACUGUACUCGUAGACGAUGGAUUGGUGUUAGAUAAGAUGCUUGGCACAGAUAUUUUGCCUUGUGCUGGUAGAAUACUUAGGAUUGAGCGUCUAGCCGAGGAUAUUCUUGAUCAAGGCAUAAAAAAUGGGAUUCCUUGGACAAUGGAUACAUUUACUGAUAGUUUCUUAGCACGAUUAAAGUCAGCAGAUGCCACCAAAGUGGUUGGUCUAAAAACCAUAGCUGCGUAUCGCAGUGGCCUUGAAAUUAACCCAAAUGUCACCCAGAAAGAGGCCGCCGAGGGUCUUGCUCAAGUUUUGCUUGCUGGAAGUCCUGUACGCAUCACAAACAAACACCUUAUCGAUUAUAUCAUAGUGCGUAGUUUGGAGGUGGCUCUGUGUUUCGACUGGCCCAUGCAGAUACAUACAGGAUUUGGAGACAAAGAUUUGGAUUUGAGGCAGGCUAAUCCCCUUCAUCUGCGCAAUCUUCUUGAAGACCGUAGAUUCUUGGACUGCAGAAUAGUGCUUUUACAUGCAUCCUACCCUUUUUCAAGGGAAGCAUCGUAUUUGGCAUCUGUUUAUCAUCAGGUGUACCUUGAUUUUGGUUUGGCAGUUCCAAAGCUGAGUGUUCAUGGCAUGAUAUCAUCACUCAAACAGCUUUUGGAGCUUGCGCCGCUAAAGAAGGUGAUGUUCAGCACUGAUGGAUGUGCAUUUCCGGAAACGUUUUACCUAGGUGCAAAGAGAGCACGUGACGUUGUUUUCAGUGUUCUACGGGAUGCAUGCAACGAUGGUGAUCUUUCGAUUGAUGAAGCUGUUGAAGCUGUUGCCGACAUCUUUGCUGAAAAUGCAAAAAAGUUUUACGGGAUUGGUACUGCUGUCAGAUCUGAUACCUUAUUAAAGUUGGAUAAUGAUGUGAGAAAGGAGGUUAACUCUACCCAACAAGAUGUGGUGCUUGUUCGUGUUUUAUGGGUAGAUGCUUCGGGACAACACAGAUGCCGUGUUGUCCCUCGAAAACGGUUCGAUAGUAUUGUGAAGGAGAAUGGGUUAGGUCUAACCUGUGCCUCCAUGGGCAUGAGUUCCGCAAUGGAUGGUCCGGCUGAUGAGACUAAUCUCACAGGAACUGGUGAGAUCAGACUCAUACCAGAUUUGUCAACAAGAUGCAAAAUCCCAUGGGCGAUGCAGGAAGAGAUGGUUUUGGCAUACAUGCACUCAAAACCUGGUCAAGUGUGGGAUUAUUGCCCAAGAGAAACACUAAGGAGACUUUCACAACUUCUCAAACAAGAAUUUAACUUGGAAAUGAACGCUGGAUUUGAAAAUGAAUUCUAUCUAUUAAAGAGUCAGUUAAGGGAUGGUCAAGAAGAAUGGGUUUCAUUUGACACGUCACGUUACUGUGCCACAUCUUCGUUUGAUGCUGCUUCACCUAUACUACAUGAAGUUGUUAAUUCACUACACUUCCUUAAUAUUGAUGUAGAACAGCUACAUGCAGAGGCGGGCAAUGGUCAGUUUGAAAUUGCAUUACGUUACACAACGUGUACCAAAGCUGCAGAUAACUUGAUUUAUGCCCGUGAAGUUAUUAGAUCUGUUGCAAGGAAACAUGGGUUGCUCGCUACUUUUAUGCCAAAGUAGGUAUGCAUUAGAUGACAUCGGAUCGGGUUCACAUGUGCACAUAAGUUUGUCCGAAAAUGGGGAAAAUGUAUUUGCAGCUUCUGAUAGGUCGUCGUCACGUCAUGGAAUGUCCAAAAUUGGGGAAGAGUUCAUGGCUGGUGUUCUACACCAUCUUCCAUCACUUUUAGCUUUUACAGCACCACUCCCAAACAGUUAUGAUCGUAUACAACCCAAUACAUGGAGUGGAGCUUACCUUUGCUGGGGUAAAGAAAACAGAGAGGCUCCCAUCAGAACUGCAUGUCCACCUGGCGUUCCCGACGGAAUUGUCAGCAACUUUGAAAUCAAAGCAUUUGAUGGAUGUGCAAAUCCGCAUCUGGCUCUUGCUGCUGUUAUUGCUUCCGGAAUCGAUGGUCUUCGCAGACAUCUUUCUCUCUCUGAUCCUGUUGAUGAGAAUCCUGAUAUACUACGCGACAAACUCCAAAGAUUGCCGGUCUCUCUUGCAGAAUCAGUAGAAGCUCUUGCAAAAGACACUGUUUUAGAAGCUUUAUUAGGAGAAAAACUGCUGGUUGCGAUAAAAGGGGUUCGCAAGGCGGAAAUCAAGUACUACUCUGAGAAUAAGGAUGCGUACAAGAAACUGAUAUACCAGUACUAACAAAGCUCAUGUUUGGAUUCGUACUAUCGGUGGAUGUUUAACCUCAUGUUUGAAUUACGUGAUUUAAUUUAUGAGACAAUUUUCCAUCAACAUUGUUUGUUGUAACGUAAUGAGAUGUUAGAUUUUUCUAGGUAUCAUGGACAUAAAUUAAUAUCUAUCUAUAUCUAUAUCUAUUAAUAAGGCAA
Molecule: RNA transcript, 2955 nt
Organism: Helianthus annuus (common sunflower)
Lineage: Eukaryota; Viridiplantae; Streptophyta; Magnoliopsida; Asterales; Asteraceae
Gene name: protein fluG
Exons: 18
Source: RefSeq, a predicted model, not a curated record